This 498-nucleotide ribosomal RNA is filed under the name uncultured Glomus. RNAcentral's name for it is "SSU rRNA". It matches the Rfam family "Eukaryotic small subunit ribosomal RNA", at positions 591 to 1092 of the family's 1831-position model. The record is from RNAcentral. RNAcentral also lists the same sequence under 1 other name. Lineage: Eukaryota; Fungi; Glomeromycota; Glomeromycetes; Glomerales; Glomeraceae.
CCAAUAGCGUAUAUUAAAGUUGCUGCAGUUAAAAAGCUCGUAGUUGAAUUUCGGGACUAAUAUGUCGGUCGUGCCUCGGUACGUACUGGCUUAUUGGUUUCUCCUUUCUGAAGAACCAUGAUGUCAUUUAUUUGGUGUCGUGGGGAAUCAGGACUGUUACUUUGAAAAAAUUAGAGUGUUUAAAGCAGGCUCACGCUUGAAUACAUUAGCAUGGAAUAAUGAAAUAGGACGUUUGAUUCUAUUUUGUUGGUUUCUAGGAUCGACGUAAUGAUUAAUAGGGAUAGUUGGGGGCAUUAGUAUUCAAUUGUCAGAGGUGAAAUUCUUGGAUUUAUUGAAGACUAACUACUGCGAAAGCAUUUGCCAAGGAUGUUUUCAUUAAUCAAGAACGAAAGUUAGGGGAUCGAAGACGAUCAGAUACCGUCGUAGUCUUAACCAUAAACUAUGCCGACUAGGGAUCGGAUGAUGUUAAUUUUUUAAUGACUCAUUCGGCGCCUUACG